CAUCAAAAAUCAUCGAUCAUCGAGAUGAUGCUCGUAGGUCUCACAAUCCACCAGUGACACCUAGCAGUAUAUAGUGACAAUCCAGUAAAAUAAAAGAUAAUGAAUCUCUAGGUACAGUUAACGUAUGAUACAGUUUCUCUAUCGUGAGUCUCGAUAAGAUGGCAGGUCAUGGAUGAAUCCUCAAACCUCAUCAUCGGUCAUAUGAUAGAUUCAAUUAGCUCGAGU
RNAcentral lists this long non-coding RNA (225 nucleotides) under Elaeis guineensis (African oil palm). Its description in RNAcentral is "long non-coding RNA (EGUI_LNC075300)". Lineage: Eukaryota; Viridiplantae; Streptophyta; Magnoliopsida; Arecales; Arecaceae. The record is from RNAcentral.